GUGUCCGUAGCUUAAUGGAUAGAGCAUUGGGUUGCGAACCCAACGAUUGUGAGUUCGACCCUCACCGGGCACA
RNAcentral lists this transfer RNA (73 nucleotides) under Candidatus Levybacteria bacterium RIFCSPLOWO2_12_FULL_37_14. RNAcentral's name for it is "tRNA-Arg". It matches the Rfam family "tRNA". Rfam says of the family: Transfer RNA (tRNA) molecules are approximately 80 nucleotides in length. Their secondary structure includes four short double-helical elements and three loops (D, anti-codon, and T loops). The record is from RNAcentral. Lineage: Bacteria; Candidatus Levyibacteriota.